RNAcentral lists this unclassified non-coding RNA (23 nucleotides) under Mus musculus (house mouse). RNAcentral's name for it is "oocyte_clustered_small_RNA4701". Lineage: Eukaryota; Metazoa; Chordata; Mammalia; Rodentia; Muridae. The record is from RNAcentral.
UGCACCAAGCACACAACACACAC